GACAUAAAAUAUUGUAACACUAUGACACACAACGCUAAAUGUAGCAAAUUUGCAGAAUUUUUCUUCACAACACUAAACACUUGAAACAUUUUUCUUUGUUCGAGCAUCAGUGACCUAAAUUUUUCUUUUCCCCCAAAUUAAAAUUAGAAGAGUAACGAAGAAUUGGAAGAGGCGGAUCUGGAUGAGACGAUGGGCUGGAACUCCUAUGCAAAAAUUGGUUCAACAAAGAAGUGGAAGAGGCGGAUCUGGAUGAACACGACGGUCCGUCCUACUGCAAUCCCGCCGGUCUCCAUCGUUCUUCGUCACGUGCUAGAGUUCUCUCCAUCGCUCGGGGCCGUGUCCCUUGCUCCGUCAUCGUAACACCAGCCAUAGACGUAAUCUUCUUCUUCUUCUCUCUGGUUUUCAAUUAAUUAAAUCAUAUGGGUUUCGUAAAGUCUUGAUCUUUGAUUUGUAAAGUUUCUUUAAUGGAGGAGCAGUCACAUCAAUUGUAGAGAGACUAUCGAUCAGGUUAAUUUACUUAAGCCAUAUCUUUCUCUUUCUUUCUUCUUCUUCUCCGAUUUGAGUAUAUCGGCGAUGGAGACGAGAACCCGGCGAUUGUAGUGGCCAAUCGUGAAAGAGAUCGAGAGCUUUUGACUCCCGUCGCUGAUUUCGGCGACAAAGACGAUGGUUCUUCUUCAAGCCUUCUUCUUCUUCUUCUUCUUCUUCGCAUCAAUCCAGCCACGAGGUGUAGUUUUUCUUUUCACCUGAUCUAUAUGAAGUAUUGUUAUAUGUUUUCUCAUUUCAAGAUUCAUGUGAAAUUAAAAGUAGAACUGGAUUGAUAUUAAGCUCUUAGUUCGUUUGAAGAUUAGGAUACCAAACCAAUCGAUUCUAGAAAACAGCUUAAAAAGGGAGUAUCUUGACCUCGAAGCUAAGGUAAAUGGCUUUAAAAAAAGAGACAUCUAGACAACUUUUCUGAACGUGCAUAAUAAAGCAGAACAUUCCUAAGCUUGAUUCCAACUGCAGAGCCAAAAGCCAUUCUAUUCACAGACAUAAGGUAUCUCCAGGAAAGACGAUAAAAGAGUGAAAGAACUAUUUGAGGCAUUGGACAAAUAGGCAUUGUGGAUAUGUCAGAACAGUUGAUCUAGGGUAUAAUAAUUAAUCUCAAGUUAAUAUUAAAUUUUGUUAUGUUGUUGGUGUAGGAGCUGAUGGAGGAAGAGGAGAGUAUAUCUUAUUUACUACUAUCUAACAAAAAUGUGUCCGAGUUCCAAAGUAUACCAUAAAAGGAUAUUAUCACUGGCAGCUCCAACUCGGUUUCUAAAUCAUCUGCCAUGAAUUCACAGGCUUGUGUACUUCAGCUCAAAGGUCUUGAGAUAAGCAGAGGAAAGAUGCGUUGAAAAUUUGUUUGUCAAGUGGAAUCCAAGAAGAUAACAACAUACAAUAAAACUCUCUUCUCCAUUGAGAAGGAUUUCGCAUGUCCUACAAAGUCACGAACUACAAAAUUAUGGAAUCAUCUGCAAAUAUGUAAGCGGUACAAGACAUGGGUAGAUGUGCAAAAUACGACUAAGAGUCAACAUGUUAUUAACAACAAUGAGCAGAAUCUGAAGAUUGCAAAGGUUCAUUAGGGUGGCUCGAGAGAAGCAGCAAAUGAGAUUCUAGUGAUAGGGAAGUUGGAAUUUAAACAUUUCUACAAUAAG
Molecule: non-coding RNA, 1673 nt
Organism: Camelina sativa (false flax)
Lineage: Eukaryota; Viridiplantae; Streptophyta; Magnoliopsida; Brassicales; Brassicaceae
Source: RefSeq, a predicted model, not a curated record